This 1920-nucleotide unclassified non-coding RNA is filed under the name Hevea brasiliensis (rubber tree). The record is from RNAcentral. Lineage: Eukaryota; Viridiplantae; Streptophyta; Magnoliopsida; Malpighiales; Euphorbiaceae.
GGGCAUCCUUUUGGUCAAAACUUUUCCAUAUAUAAAUGAAUUGCAAGUGGAAUUAUCAGCUACCCUCAUACAAAUACAAUAUAACCAAAGCCCUUCAAGAACACCACAAAACAGAAGAACUACAAAUGGAGUUCUCUGAUCUUCUUCUCAGAAUCUUGCCUUCUCUUGCUCUUCUUGGACUCCUUUCCUUCAUCUUUCAUCUCUACAGGACUGUCUUGCUUAGUUCAUACACAGUCAAGAAGAAGCUCCACAUGCAAGGUAUUAAUGGCCCUUCUCCUUCUUUUCUUUAUGGGAAUCUCUCUGAGAUGCAGCAAAUUCAAUUGAAGGUCAAGAAAGAGGCUUUUCCUACUCAUGGUGAUGAGAUUGUAGCACAAGACUACACUUCCAUUGUUUUCCCCUACUUUGAUCACUGGAGAAAACAAUACGGUCCAAUAUACAUGUAUUCGACAGGGUUUAAGCAACAUUUGUACAUUACCGACCCUGAGUUUGUGAAGGAAAUGAACCAGUGUAAUACUCUGGACUUAGGCAAGCCUCCAUAUGUGACUAAAAGAUUCGCACCAAUGUUCGGCAAUGGCAUAGUGAGGUCCAAUGGACAUUUCUGGGCUCUACAAAGGAAAAUUGUAGCACCAGAGUUUUUCAUGGUCAAGGUCAAGAGCAUGGUAGGGCUAAUGGUGGAAUCAACAAUCCCUUUGCUAAGAGAGUGGGAGCAGCGCAUUGAAGCCCAAGGUGGUCUCCAUGCAGAAAUUACAGUUGAUGAUGAUUUGAAGGGCCUUUCAGCUAAUGUUAUUGCAAGAGCUUGUUUUGGGAGUUCUUAUUUCAAAGGCAAUCAGAUUUUCUCCAAGCUUAGAACUCUCCAUAAGGCGCUUACCCAGCAGGGUACCCUUUUUGGGUUCACAAGUUUUCGCAAUAAUUAUAAAGAGAUCAACAGCUUGGAAAGAGAGAUAGACUCAUUAAUCUGGGAAACAGUUCAAGAACGCCAAAAGCAGAGCUCAAUUGAGAAGGACCUAAUGCAACUAAUACUUGAAGAGGCUGUCAACAAUCCUAAUUCAGGGAAGCUUUCACCAAAGAAAUUUAUAGUUGAUAAUUGCAAGGGCUUAUAUUUUGCAGGGCAUGACACAACUGCUAUUUCUGCUUCUUGGGUUUUAAUGCUCCUUGCUUUACACCCAGAGUGGCAAUCUAGAAUCCGAGCAGAGGUGGCCCAAUUUUGCAAUGAUGGAUCUAUCGAUGCAAAUUCAAUAUCCAACUUGAAGAUGGUAUUGAUUAAUUUAAUUGUAUUUUUACAAUUUUUCUUUCUAGCUAGAAAUGAUUCCCCAGCUAAUUGAUUUAUAUUCUAUUUGCCUCUAUAGAUCACCAUGGUGAUCCAGGAGGCCUUGAGGCUAUUCCCACCAGCAGGGUUUGUGGUGAGGGAGACACUUGAAGAAGUCCAAAUUGGAUACAUUACAAUUCCAAAGGGUGUGUGCACAUGGACUUUGAUUUCAACCUUACACAGGGAUCCUACCAUUUGGGGACCAGAUGCUGACAAGUUCAAACCUGAAAGGUUCUCUGAUGGGGUCUCUAAAGCUUGCAAAUUUCCCCAAGCUUACAUCCCAUUUGGACUUGGAACUCGCUUGUGUGUUGGUCGAAACUUUGCCAUGGUGGAACUGAAAAUUGUUAUCUCCUUCAUUGUCUCCAAGUUUAAAUUCUCCUUGUCUCCUAAUUAUGUGCAUUCUCCAGUUUUCAGAAUGCUUGUAGAACCUGAAAAUGGUUUACAACUCAUAAUCCAAAAGGUUUAGAAUAAGAUUAGAGGUACUACUAAAAUUUAUAUGCUAGUUUGGCUCUUGCUUUAGCUAUGUGUUUCAACUGAACAGUUUGUUAGUGGAAUAGCAACAAUAUUUCUUCAACAUCAAUCAUUUAAAAUUUAGUUUGUUUGGCAGUUCUCUU